RNAcentral lists this ribosomal RNA (479 nucleotides) under uncultured bacterium. RNAcentral's name for it is "bacterial SSU rRNA". It matches the Rfam family "Bacterial small subunit ribosomal RNA", at positions 10 to 507 of the family's 1533-position model. The record is from RNAcentral.
AGUUUGAUCCUGGCUCAGGACGACGCUGGCGGCGUGCUUAACACAUGCAAGUCGAACGGUAAGGCCCUUCGGGGUACACGAGUGGCGAACGGGUGAGUAACACGUGGGUGAUCUGCCCUGCACUUCGGGAUAAGCCUGGGAAACUGGGUCUAAUACCGGAUAGGACUCCUGGCUUCAUGGUUGGGGGUGUAAAGCUUUUGCGGUGUGGGAUGGGCCCGCGGCCUAUCAGCUUGUUGGUGGGGUAAUGGCCUACCAAGGCGACGACGGGUAGCCGGCCUGAGAGGGUGACCGGCCACACUGGGACUGAGAUACGGCCCAGACUCCUACGGGAGGCAGCAGUGGGGAAUAUUGCACAAUGGGCGCAAGCCUGAUGCAGCGACGCCGCGUGAGGGAUGACGGCCUUCGGGUUGUAAACCUCUUUCAAUAGGGACGAAGCGCAAGUGACGGUACCUAUAGAAGAAGGACCGGCCAACUACGUG